ACGGAGGAUCCGAGCGUUAUCCGGAUUUAUUGGGUUUAAAGGGUGCGUAGGCGGAAUAGCAAGUCAGUGGUGAAAGCCUGCAGCUUAACUGUAAAACUGCCAUUGAAACUGCUGUUCUUGAGUAUAGUAGAGGUAGGUGGAAUGUGUAGUGUAGCGGUGAAAUGCAUAGAUAUUACACAGAACACCGAUUGCGUAGGCAGCUUACUGGACUAUAACUGACGCUGAGGCACGAAAGCGUGGGGAUCAAACAG
This 251-nucleotide ribosomal RNA is filed under the name uncultured prokaryote. RNAcentral's name for it is "partial 16S rRNA". It matches the Rfam family "Bacterial small subunit ribosomal RNA", at positions 525 to 775 of the family's 1533-position model. The record is from RNAcentral.